CUUUUUUUUUUUUUUUUUUUUUUCAUUGAAUAUUCUCUGAAGACAAUCAGAGGCCUGCCAGGGAGGGACUCCUGGCUGGUUCCAGCACUGUCCUUAGGCCUCUUUUUAAUACUAACUUGUUGGAACUGAUGCACUUUGUUUAAUGUAUUUUACCUUUUUUUUUUAAAGCUGCUCAUUUAGAACAAAAUCAAAUGCUUAUUGCAUUGUAUCCUUCCUGCUUGCUGUUUUUCCUCUUAAUUUCAAAAGUUAUGCAUUAAAGAUAAAAGUACACUUAAGAAGUAUGCACAAGAAUACCUAUUAAAAUAACUACCAUCAAGUUUGAUGGUAUAACUUCAAAGGAUUAAAAAAAACUAUUUUGGAUUAAUAUUUUGCGUGUUUUUUUUGUAAAUAUGAUUGUAUAUAAACUGGUGGUACGUUAUGACAGUUUUAAGUGGUUGUGAGAAAACUAAAGAGAACAGGUCUUAAGCUAUGUUUAACCUUAACUUUGUGCUGAUUUGACAACAAGGAAGGCAUUUUGGCCAGAGUAAAUUUUUUAAAACUCUUUCCAGCGGGACCUCAGAGAAUCAUUUCCAAAUAGAUGAGAAGUUCCUUCCUACUUUAAUAAAACUCCGGAAUUCUUCCCCCUCUCUUGCUGUCUCAUCCUUUACCUUCUGGAUUUAGGUGCUUUUUAAUUCCAGUUCAGGAAAGAUAGGAAGAGUAGAAUUUCCCCACAGCAACCUUGCUCCUGACAUUGGGGAUUCCGCCCCUGAUCUCUGAAGACUGCUUCUUGUUUGUUCCUCUGUGAGCCUUAAGGAUUCCUCCACAGCUGGAUGUGCAGAACAAUUCUUUGUCAAAAACAUCACUUUUCAGCUCUAUGUCCAAUUUUCCUUGAGCUGUCUGUGUCUUCAAGCAAUCAAUAGUCUCCUUAUGCCCAACCACAAUCUAUUCUGCUUUAAGACGUAGCCUCUUGUUUGGUUCUCUCUAAACAUGUACUGUUAACUGUUGAGCAUCCUCAUAAGAUCCCUCUUAGACUAAAAGACAGUCAUGCAAUUUUAAUUUUCCCUUAUCCAUUUAUUUUUUUAAUCUGAUUUUCUGUAUUUGCCCACGGCCAGUACUUGUGGAGAGUUUAAAAUUUUAUAAAUUAAAAUUCCAUUUAAAUUAAG
Molecule: long non-coding RNA, 1142 nt
Filed under: Homo sapiens (human)
Lineage: Eukaryota; Metazoa; Chordata; Mammalia; Primates; Hominidae
Description: novel transcript
Source: RNAcentral